Long non-coding RNA from Trichomycterus rosablanca, 791 nucleotides. RefSeq lists it as uncharacterized. The transcript is spliced from 3 exons. Lineage: Eukaryota; Metazoa; Chordata; Actinopteri; Siluriformes; Trichomycteridae. The record is from RefSeq and is a predicted model, not a curated record.
UACACACAUGAUCUCUACUCUCUUAUAAAACAAGAGAAACCUGCUGAAUGUAGCGGAGAAAAAGUUAAACUUAAGUAUCGAUCCCAUCACGCUAGUAUCGAUUCGAUUCCAAUACCAAGCUUGGUAUCGAUAUUUGAAUCUAAACGCCCACCCCCAGCAUAAUGCAGCUCGACGGUUAUUUACUCUUAGAAAUGUAGUGGAGGAGAAACUGAGCAUACGAGUUCUGCAAUACAGGAGAGAUUAAAAUUAUCAUGGCAACCCUUUACUUUUCCUCUCCGUGUGGUAAAACGACUUAAAACCGAUGAGGAUAAGUUACCACAAACUUUGAAGAUUGGAACCAGGGUGACCAGGCUAAGGUUGAUGUCAACAGAAAUGAGACCACAAGAGGAAAGAGACCACUCUGUGCAGGCAGAAUCGAUCCCAGACGUCUUGGUCCACACCCUCUGGCAUGUUCUCUGGAGCAUCUAACUCCUCCAUGGCCUUCAUCAUCUGUGAGAGUCCUUCUGCUGCUGCUCGUCCCAACACAGGCUCAGUAGAUGGACUUAUGUAAUCUGUCUGGGUCCUUAUUCUUUGCACCCUAAAAACAACACCCAGACUUGUGACUCUGGAUUUAAUCAGUUAGGCUACUGUAGGUCAAAAAAUAAUACAAUAAAUAUAUACAAUCUGAAGUGACGUCACACAAGACCAAAAAGCUUGUAAUGUAGAAGUUCUAUUAAAAUACUUUACAAUGAUUUAAGAUAUUUUAGAGUACCUGGGUCUACGCUUGUAAAGCUUGUACAGUUGGUCAACAA